CCGAGGUGCUGACCGGACCGGCGCGGAGGAGGAGGGAGCUGGCAGGAGCUGCAGGAGAGGUAAGUAACAGCUCUGCCAGCCCCCAGUCUGUAUUAUGGCAAUGUAAAUUAAUGUAAAUUGCCAUAAUACAGACACUGACUCGAGUAUAAGCCGAGUUGGGGUUUUUCAGCACAAAAAAUGUGCUGAAAAACUCGGCUUAUACUCGAGUAUAUACGGUAACUCUAUUUUACUAACAGGGGGUUAUUUACUGAAGUGAGAAUUCCAAAUGAAUUCCAAAUUUAAGGGCAACGCAGCCGAAAGCAAAACAGAGCUGACUUAAAGACUUUUCUGUUUUGGCUAUUUUGAUCUUAAUUUGGAAAUUCACUUUGAAUUCUCACUUUAGUGAAUAACUAAAAUGUUAUAAUUUCGGCAGCACUGUUCUUUCUUCUGCAACCACACGCAUAAUGAACUUGGAGCCAGUAGCAAGGGUAACUUGGAUCUCAUAUUAAUGUUUUGAAGCAAAUAUUAAAAAAUGCAGUUCAGAUUGCAAUAGCACUGAAUAAGCUUGACAGUGUUACACAACAUAUUUAGUGAUAUUUUUAUGUUUCAUGGUUUAUUUCCUGAAUAUUGACAAUUUUAAAAUUAUUUCCCACAUUGUUAGGCUUGUUGUCAAUGUUUCCAUUUUGCAUUGUAGCUGUGUGUUAUAUAUCAUAUUCUGGUCUGUAUUAAAACUAUAUCUACAGGAAAAGUAACUCGACAUUCUAUCAGAUGUUUGGCAAUACAAAGCAUAUGUUUAUCUUCUGAACAAGACAGUGUGUAAGUUAGCAUGCCUAACUAAAAUAUUAAAACUGAGACAUUCUACAGCCUUAUACAUUGCCAUCAUAUCAUUAUUACAUAACAAGUGGUAUUUACGUUAAUUCAAAAUGAUAGGAACAUGGUUUAUUUCUGAAUAAAGUUCAAGGUGAUAUAGAUUAGCAAUGCAAUUUAUUUUCGGAGUAUAAAUAGGAAACUCACACCAUUCUGAUCAUUUAUGGAUGAUUGGAGUUGCUGCUAAAAAAUGCUUUAAUGAUAGUGUAUUCGUAGCAUAAACCAGUGCCUGCUAUUCUCAGAAAAUGUGUACUUUUUAUCUAAUGUAAAUUGUAUGAAAUGUGUGUUUUGUUAAAAGAAUUAAUUGUGACAAAGGCCUAUUUUUAAAAAUUUGUUUUAUAUAGCGUUGAACAGCACCAUUUAAGGACUUUAUAGCAGUGUGUGAGUGUAUGUAUCGGAUAACAAAAAAUGUAGCUCAGCGUGAAGCCUUCUCAUUGGAGUAUUGCAAUCUUGGUAUGUGGACAUUGAAGAACUGUAAUUUUGGCCCACUCUUCUUUACAACAUUGGUUCAGUUAAUUGAGGUUUUCUGACAUUUGUUUAUGCACUGCUCUCUUAAGGUGCCUCCACAGCAUUCCAAUUGGGUUGUGGUCUGGACUUUGACUGGGUCAUUGCAGUACCUUGGUUCUUUUAUUUAUUUUUCAGCCAGUCUGUUGUAGAUUUGCUGGUGUGCUUGCUAGUUCAUUAUGGCCUAACAUCUCUACUUUGGUCUCGUCCAUCCAACGGACAUUGUUCCAGACGUCUUGUGGUUUGCUCAGAUGCAACUUUGCAAACCUAUUUCGUGCUGCUGUGUUCUUUUUAGAGAGAAUAGGCUUUCUCCUGGCAACCCUUCCAAAGAAACCAUGCUUGUUCAGUGUUUUUCUAAUUG
Pelobates cultripes (western spadefoot toad) is the source of this 1711-nucleotide non-coding RNA. NCBI's taxonomy places the organism in Eukaryota, Metazoa, Chordata, Amphibia, Anura, Pelobatidae. The record is from the annotation of a GenBank genome assembly.